This 253-nucleotide ribosomal RNA is filed under the name uncultured bacterium. Its description in RNAcentral is "partial 16S ribosomal RNA". It matches the Rfam family "Bacterial small subunit ribosomal RNA", at positions 524 to 776 of the family's 1533-position model. The record is from RNAcentral.
UACAGAGGGUGCAAGCGUUAAUCGGAAUUACUGGGCGUAAGGCGUGCGUAGACGGUUAUGUAAGUCGGGUGUGAAAGCCCCGGGCUCAACCUGGGAAUUGCAUUCGAGACUGCAUAGCUAGGGUGCGGAAGAGGGAAGCGGAAUUUCCGGUGUAGCGGUGAAAUGCGUAGAUAUCGGAAGGAACACCAGUGGCGAAAGCGGCUUCCUGGUCCAGCACCGACGUUCAGGCACGAAAGCGUGGGGAGCAAACAGG